GACGAACGCUGGCGGCGUGCUUAACACAUGCAAGUCGAACGCUGAAGCUUGGUGCUUGCACUGGGUGGAUGAGUGGCGCACGGGUGAGUAAUACGUGAGUAACCUGCCCUUGACUCUGGGAUAAGCCUGGGAAACUGGGUCUAAUACUGGAUACGACAUGUCACCGCAUGGUGGUGUGUGGAAAGGGUUUUACUGGUUUUGGAUGGGCUCACGGCCUAUCAGCUUGUUGGUGGGGUAAUGGCUCACCAAGGCGACGACGGGUAGCCGGCCUGAGAGGGUGACCGGCCACACUGGGACUGAGACACGGCCCAGACUCCUACGGGAGGCAGCAGUGGGGAAUAUUGCACAAUGGGCGGAAGCCUGAUGCAGCGACGCCGCGUGAGGGAUGACGGCCUUCGGGUUGUAAACCUCUUUCAGCACGGAAGAAGCGAAAGUGACGGUACGUGCAGAAGAAGCGCCGGCUAACUACGUG
This 472-nucleotide ribosomal RNA is filed under the name uncultured bacterium. Its description in RNAcentral is "partial 16S ribosomal RNA". It matches the Rfam family "Bacterial small subunit ribosomal RNA", at positions 28 to 507 of the family's 1533-position model. The record is from RNAcentral.